This 230-nucleotide long non-coding RNA is filed under the name Brassica napus (rape). RNAcentral's name for it is "long non-coding RNA (BNAP_LNC019691)". Lineage: Eukaryota; Viridiplantae; Streptophyta; Magnoliopsida; Brassicales; Brassicaceae. The record is from RNAcentral.
GUUGGACAUAAGUAAGUCUUUGGUGAGAAAACAUAAUAAGAAUGGCAAAAUUGCAUAAGGUUCUCACAAAGACCUGGAAUCAAUUAUAAAGGAGACAUACUCUUAUGUGGUGGAUGCAACGACAUUCUGAUUCCUUAUAAGUCUGGCAAAUACAAUACAUAUCUAUACGGUCUACUGGAUAACGAAAUUUAUGUGAAAGUUCCAGAGGGUAUCGAACUACCAAACACAUC